GUAAUACUCUCUCCGUCUGAAAAUACUUGUCAUCAAAAUGGAUAAAAGGAGAUGUAUCUAGACGUAUUUUAGUUCUAGAUACAUCCCUUUUUAUCCAUUUUGAUGACAAGUAUUUUCGGACGGAGGCACCAAUGA
Triticum aestivum (bread wheat) is the source of this 135-nucleotide non-coding RNA. The record is from Rfam. Lineage: Eukaryota; Viridiplantae; Streptophyta; Magnoliopsida; Poales; Poaceae.